This 492-nucleotide ribosomal RNA is filed under the name uncultured bacterium. Its description in RNAcentral is "partial 16S ribosomal RNA". It matches the Rfam family "Bacterial small subunit ribosomal RNA", at positions 29 to 507 of the family's 1533-position model. The record is from RNAcentral.
AGUGAACGCUGGCGGUAGGCCUAACACAUGCAAGUCGAACGGAAGCACAGUAAGAGCUUGCUCUUACGGGUGGCGAGUGGCGGAUGGGUGAGGAAUACAUCGGAAUCUACUUUUUCGUGGGGGAUAACGUAGGGACACUUACGCUAAUACAGCAUACGACCUACGGGUGAAAUCAGGGGAUCUUCGUACCUUGCGCGAUUGAAUGAGCCGAUGUCGGAUUAGCUAGUUGGCGGGGUAAAGGCACACCAAGGCGACGAUACGUAGCUGGUCUGAGAGGAUGAUCAGCCACACUGGAACUGAGACACGGUCCAGACUCCUACGGGAGGCAGCAGUAGGGAAUAUUGGACAAUGGGCGCAAGCCUGAUCCAGCCAUACCGCGUGAGUGAAGAAGGCCUUCGGGUUGUAAAGCCCUUUUGUUAGGAAAGAAAAGCAGCAUGAGAAUACCCCGCUGUUCUGACGGUACCCAAAGAAUAAGCACCGGCUAACUUCGUG